Molecule: ribosomal RNA, 231 nt
Filed under: uncultured bacterium
Lineage: Bacteria
Description: partial 16S ribosomal RNA
Rfam family: Bacterial small subunit ribosomal RNA
Source: RNAcentral
CGGACGGGUGAGUAAUGUCUGGGAAACUGCCUGAUGGAGGGGGAUAACUACUGGAAACGGUAGCUAAUACCGCAUAACGUCGCAAGACCAAAGAGGGGGACCUUGGGCCUCUUGCCAUCGGAUGUGCCCAGAUGGGAUUAGCUAGUAGGUGGGGUAAAGGCUCACCUAGGCGACGAUCCCUAGCUGGCCUGAGAGGAUGACCAGCCACACUGGAACUGAGACACGGUCCAG